This 849-nucleotide ribosomal RNA is filed under the name uncultured bacterium. RNAcentral describes it as "bacterial SSU rRNA". It matches the Rfam family "Bacterial small subunit ribosomal RNA", at positions 28 to 895 of the family's 1533-position model. The record is from RNAcentral.
GACGAACGCUGGCGGCGUGCCUAACACAUGCAAGUCGAACGGAGAUAUGAUUUCGGUUGUAUCUUAGUGGCGAACGGGUGAGUAACGCGUGAACAACCCGACUCUCAGAGGGGGAUAACACUCGGAAACGGGUGCUAAUACCGCAUAAGACCACGACCUGGCAUCAGGAUGAGGUCAAAGGAGCAAUCCGCUGAGAGAGGGGUUCGCGUCCCAUUAGAUAGAUGGCGGGGUAACGGCCCACCAUGUCAGCGAUGGGUAGCCGAGCUGAGAGGCUGAUCGGCCACACUGGAACUGAGACACGGUCCAGACUCCUACGGGAGGCAGCAGUGGGGAAUAUUGGGCAAUGGGUGCAAGCCUGACCCAGCAACGCCGCGUGAGGGAAGAAGGCUUUCGGGUUGUAAACCUCUGUCCUUGGUGACGAAAAAAAUGACGGUAGCCUAGGAGGAAGCCCCGGCUAACUACGUGCCAGCAGCCGCGGUAAUACGUAGGGGGCUAGCGUUGUCCGGAUUUACUGGGCGUAAAGGGUGAGUAGGCGGUUAUGUAUGUCAGAUGUAAAAGGCGCGGGCUUAACUUGCGUUAGCAUUUGAAACUGCAUAACUUGAGUGCAGGAGAGGUAAGCGGAAUUCCUAGUGUAGCGGUGAAAUGCGUAGAUAUUAGGAGGAACACCGGUGGCGAAGGCGGCUUACUGGACUGUAACUGACGCUGAGUCACGAAAGCGUGGGUAGCAAACAGGAUUAGAUACCCUGGUAGUCCACGCUGUAAACGAUGAGCGCUAGGUGUUGGGUAGCGAUACUCAGUGCCGGAGUAAACACAAUAAGCACUCCGCCUGGGGAGUACGGUCGCAAGACU